GGAGAGUUUGAUCAUGGCUCAGGGUGAACGCUGGCGGCGCGCUUAAUGCAUGCAAGUCGAGCGUGCCCCUCGGGCUUCGGCCCGUUGGGGAAAGCGGCAGACGGCUGAGUAACGCGUGAGUAACCUGCCCUCUGGUGGGGUAAAACCACGGGAAACUGUGGUUAAUCCCGCAUAAGAUCCCACAGCCUUGGCAGUGGGAUGAAAGCCUUACGGCGCCAGGGGAGGGGCUCGCGUCCUAUCAGGUAGUUGGUGGGGUAACGGCCCACCAAGCCUAUGACGGGUAGCUGGUCUGAGAGGACGAUCAGCCAGAGGGGGACUGAGACACGGCCCCCACUCCUACGGGAGGCAGCAGCAGGGAAUUUUGGGCAAUGGGCGAAAGCCUGACCCAGCGACGUCGCGUGGGGGAUGAAGGCCUUUGGGCUGUAAACCCCUUUUCCAAGGGAAGAGUAAGGACGGUACCUUGGGAAUAAGCUCCGGCUAACUACGUGCCAGCAGCCGCGGUAAUACGUAGGGAGCGAGCGUUACCCGGAAUCACUGGGCGUAAAGAGCGCGUAGGCGGUUGGAUAAGUCUCUUGUGAAAGCUCCCGGCUCAACUGGGAGAGGUCAAGGGAUACUAUUCGACUAGAGGACAGCAGAGGUAAGCAGAAUUCCCGGUGUAGCGGUGGAAUGCGUAGAUAUCGGGAGGAACACCAGUGGCGAAGGCGGCUUACUGGGCUGUAUCUGACGCUGAGGCGCGAGAGCGUGGGUAGCGAACAGGAUUAGAUACCCUGG
RNAcentral lists this ribosomal RNA (771 nucleotides) under uncultured endophytic bacterium. Its description in RNAcentral is "bacterial SSU rRNA". It matches the Rfam family "Bacterial small subunit ribosomal RNA", at positions 8 to 790 of the family's 1533-position model. The record is from RNAcentral.